This 433-nucleotide ribosomal RNA is filed under the name uncultured bacterium. RNAcentral's name for it is "partial 16S ribosomal RNA". It matches the Rfam family "Bacterial small subunit ribosomal RNA", at positions 29 to 507 of the family's 1533-position model. The record is from RNAcentral.
AACGAACGCUGGCGGCAUGCCUAACACAUGCAAGUCGAACGAAACCUUCGGGUCUAUUGGCUCACGGGUUCGUAAGGCGUGGGAACCUGCCCUUAUGGUCGGAAUAACUCUCCGACAGGGGUACUAAUACCGGAUAAUGUCUUCGGACCAAAGAUUUUUUGCAUUGGGAUGUGCCCGCGUUGGAUUCGCUAGUUGGGAGGGUUAUAGCCUACCACGGCGAGGAUCCGUAGCUUGUUUGAGAGGAUGGUCAGCCACUCUGAGACUGAGACACGGCCCAGACUCUUACGGGAUGCAGCAGUGGGGAAUAUUGCACAAUGGGCUAAAGCCUGAUGCAGUUAUGCCGCGUGAGCGAUGAAGGUCUUAGGGAUGUAAAGCUUUUUUACCUGGGAUGAUAAUGACAGUACCGGGAGAAAAAGCCCCGGCUAACUCCGUG